RNAcentral lists this ribosomal RNA (468 nucleotides) under uncultured bacterium. RNAcentral's name for it is "partial 16S ribosomal RNA". It matches the Rfam family "Bacterial small subunit ribosomal RNA", at positions 28 to 507 of the family's 1533-position model. The record is from RNAcentral.
GACGAACGCUGGCGGCGUGCUUAACACAUGCAAGUCGAACGGAAAGGCCCUGCUUUUGUGGGGUGCUCGAGUGGCGAACGGGUGAGUAACACGUGAGUAACCUGCCCUUGACUUUGGGAUAACUUCAGGAAACUGGGGCUAAUACCGGAUAGGAGCUCCUGCUGCAUGGUGGGGGUUGGAAAGUUUCGGCGGUUGGGGAUGGACUCGCGGCUUAUCAGCUUGUUGGUGGGGUAGUGGCUUACCAAGGCUUUGACGGGUAGCCGGCCUGUGAGGGUGACCGGGCACCUGGGGACUGAGAUACGGACCAGAGUCCUACGUGAGGCAGCAGUGGGGAAUAUUGCACAAUGGGAGGAAGUCUGAUGCAGCAACGCUGGGUGUGGGAUGACGGCCUUCGGGUUGUGAACCGCUUUCGCUUGUGACGAAGCGUGAGUGACGGUAAUGGGUAAAGAAGCACCGGCUAACUACGUG